CUGCAACCAAGUGCAGAUCAUUUCCACUUACUUUACCAUCUAACUGUGAAGAUUAUUAAGGAAAAGGACUUUUUCUUCUUCUCUCUUCUAACAUGUUAAACUAAGAACCUUCCCACUGUGAACUACUGGCAUCUUACUUUUUGACCCCUUGACAAGAAGAACUGGAGUUACCAAAAUGCUGUCAUUUAAGGUGUUGGAGUGGAAACCAGAACAUUACCUAUUAUCAAGAAGGGGUUUCUUCUAAGGCAUUCAGGGCACUCAGAAACAUACAUCUAAGGAAAGAUUCACUUAAAAACCAGCCAAGACACAGUCAUAUAAUUGGGAUCUCCAGGGCCCUGAGUAAAGACAGUCUCCUCCCACUUCAUCGUCGGUAAAUCAAACUCUCCACAGAUGGGCAUUUCCAGGUUUUCCUGUGAGUUUCUUGCACCUACAGAGCCUGGCCAAAUACUACAAUCCUG
This 458-nucleotide long non-coding RNA is filed under the name Homo sapiens (human). RNAcentral's name for it is "non-protein coding lnc-RGMA-18:2". Lineage: Eukaryota; Metazoa; Chordata; Mammalia; Primates; Hominidae. The record is from RNAcentral.